Molecule: unclassified non-coding RNA, 524 nt
Filed under: Hevea brasiliensis (rubber tree)
Lineage: Eukaryota; Viridiplantae; Streptophyta; Magnoliopsida; Malpighiales; Euphorbiaceae
Source: RNAcentral
GAAGAGCUUUCAGGUGGCGGCUAAGGAUUGUUGAAAGAUCACUUUGCCAUGACCUGAAAGCUCUUCUUUUUCAUUGCUUAAGCUUUCUUCAAUCAGCCACAAGAAUGUCAAUGGCCUUAUUCUCAUCUCCCCCACUUCACUUCCCUACUCUUACCCCUUCAAAACAUCACCUAACCCCCAAACCUUAUCCUUCUAUAAGUUUCAAGAAACCCCAUCUCUCUUUCUUGGUUUCUCCGAAGGCCACUGAUAAUGGGUCAGGUGGUGUUGUUUCCUCUUCUUCUGUUACUGUAGAGCAGGAAGUACUCGAGGAAAAAGCUCAGGACGGUGCUGUGGAAGUUGAGGAGUCAAAUGAGGCUUCUGUAGGCUCUAAUGGGUCACCGCCGGUGGCUUCCGCCGGAGCUCCGGCGCCGGAGAUUGUGAGGAUGUUUCAAGAUCCGAGAUGGGUUGGUGGGACUUGGGAUUUGAAGCAAUUUCAGAAAGAUGGAGAGACCCAUUGGGAUUCUGUUAUUGAUGCUGAGGUUAGG